AGUUGGAGUUGAGGCUUGUGAGUUAAAGGGUUAGUUAUAUUUCAUGUAUUUCUGUGCAUGACGUCUGCGCUUGUUGGAUUCUCCAUGGAGCACCGGGAGGAAUACUGAUCACUUUGUUGUUGCUGCAAACAUCUCCUCUGGGGAAAAGCUUUGUGAUGGAGGUAGAAGUCCCCCAGAGGAUCAACCAUAAAGCGGAUCACCAGGAGAAGGUGAAGAACAGCAAGCUGCUGCUGGAGCGGGGCCAGUGGGCCAACAAGCUGGAGUUCCUGCUGGCCGUGGCCGGAACCAUGGUGGGGCUGGGGAACCUGUGGCGGUUCCCCUACUUAUGUUACAAAAACGGAGGAGGUGCCUUUCUGGUUCCCUAUGUGUUGUUUCUGGUCUCCUGUGGUAUCCCCAUGUUUCUGCUGGAGACCGCCAUGGGGCAGUACACGUCCCAGGGAUGCAUUACCUGCUGGAGGUCCUUCUGCCCGUUGUUUGAAGGGAUAGGCUACGCCACACAGGUGGUGAUCGCCUACGCGGCCGUCUCCUACAUCGUGAUCCAGGCCUGGGCCUUCUUCUACCUGUUCUCCUCCUUCAGCAGCGAGGUGCCCUGGGCAUCCUGCCACAACGCCUGGAACACAAAUUCAUGCGUGGAAUUCGAUAAGAGAAAUUCUUCAUUCAACUGGACUGCAUCUUCAAAUGAAACUUCGCCUGCAACAGAGUUCUGGGAGAGACGGGUGUUGAAGAUAUCUGGAGGGAUCGAGGAGAUUGGCAGCCUGCGCUGGGAGCUGGUUCUGUGUCUGAUCUUAGCUUGGGUGCUGUGCUACUUCUGUGUCUGGAAGGGAGUCAAGUCUACUGGAAAGGUGGUGUACUUCACGGCCACCUUCCCCUACCUGAUGCUGGUGGUGCUGCUGGUCCGGGGGCUGACGCUGCCGGGGGCCAUCGACGGGAUCAAGUUCUACCUCUACCCGGACCCUACCAGGUUGGUGGACCCUCAAGUGUGGAUGGACGCCGGGGCCCAGGUGCUCUUCUCCUUCGCCAUCUGCCAGGGGAGCCUGACCGCCCUGGGGAGCUACAACCAGUACAACAACGACGUCUACAAGGACACCUUCAUCCUGUGUCUGGUGAACGGCGGCUCCAGUUUCCUGGCUGGUUUCGCCAUCUUCUCAGUGCUGGGCUUCAUGUCCUACGAGCAGGGCGUGGCCAUCUCUGAAGUGGCCGCGACCGGACCCGGCCUGGCGUUCAUCGCCUACCCCCGGGCCGUGGCCAUGAUGCCCUUACCCCAGCUGUGGUCUGUCUGCUUCUUUGUCAUGGUGAUUCUGCUCGGGGCCGACACACAGUUUGUGAGCCUGGAGUGCCUGAUGACUUCGGUCACAGACAUGUUCCCAAACGUGUUCAGGAGGGGCUACCGACGAGAGCUGCUCCUCUUCUUCAUCUGCACCGUCUGCCUCCUGCUUGGACUGCUGCUGGUCACCGAGGGAGGCCUGUACUUCCUGCAGCUGUUUGAUCAUUACGUCUGUAGUGGCAACAACCUCCUCCUGCUGUCAGUCUGCCAAUCCAUAGCGAUCGGCUGGAUUUAUGGUGCUGAUAACUUCUAUGAUGACAUUGAAGACAUGAUCGGAUACCGGCCAUGGCCGGUCAUGAAGUACUGCUGGCUGUAUCUGACUCCUGCAGUCUGUCUGGGCACCUUCAUCUUCUCAGUGUUGAAGUACCAGCCCUUGAAGUUCAACAAGACCUAUGUUUAUCCUGGAUGGGCCUACGCGCUGGGCUGGAGCCUGGGCCUUUUCUGUGUGUUCCUUGUGCCACUGUGGAUGGUCUUCAAAGUGUCUACGAUGAAGGGAGACCUCAUACAGAGAAUCAAACAACUGUGCAUUCCCGAAAAUAACAACCUCAGCAAAAAGCACACGUCGUCGGAGCAGUGCCCUCUGGACCCUGACAACCACCUGCUGCCGGCCCCCCGGGGGGAGUACAAGGAGCAGGGCCUUUGCGCAGAGGGGGACAUGCCUGUAUGACCCCGGCCGCCGUCGCUCUGGAAGCACGCCUUUAUUUUGUAGGCUAUGCAUUUUAGAAAUGUAACAAUAGGAGCCUAUAAUAAAAGCCCUUUUUCUAUUAAAGGGAGAACGGGGUUGCCCUCGUGGGGGAUAUUUCUCAACUUAGGCUUCUGUGAAGAGGUGGAAGCAGCUCCCCAGGCUGGAUGAGUUGGAUGACACUGCAAGGUCUGGAACACAGACACCAUCAGGCCAUCGAAAAACCUUAACGUCCCCAGCGGUUGGCCGAACGUGAUGUUUGCAUUACCUGAACUCUAUGGGACAAGAGACUUCCUUUCCCCAAUUGAAGAUGGUGAUUUUCAACUGUGCAAAAAUGAAUGUAUCUUUCGCCAGACCAAACCGUGUUAUCCAGAUCUAUAUGAACUAUGCAACAUCUUUAUGGCUGAUUCCAAUCUCACUCUAGCAACAGAUCCAUAUCAGGCAGUGAAUUUGUACAUGCAUCCUCAGAGAGGCCAUCAGGGCAUGUGUGUAGGUCAGACGUAUUUAGUUGUGUCUUGUGUUGAGCUUCGAAGUGGCAGGAUUUUUUGGUCACAUAAGUAAUUCACCUUGCUGUCCUUUUCCUUUAUAAGUUUCCUUUAAAGUCAUAACUCAACAUCUCUAGCUUUUGGCAAAUGUUAUUUUCCUUUAAACGAUGGUUUAGAAACACAGAAAUGGGGGGGGCUUUAUAGACAAAGCCUGUAAAAAGUAAAUCAAAUGUGUAUCAAUUUCAGAACUUUACUUUAACAAAUGUAUCACUUAUUUCAGUUAGAAUUGUAUUUAUAAAAAAAAGGUAACUGGCAGUAACUAAAUGUGAAUACUUAUUCUGAGUCUUUCAUGAUAGAAUAUCAUUGGAUUUCAAAUGAUGGGACCAAAAAAAUGGAUGUAUCUAUCGAACUCUGAACUUCUGAUGGCCAAUCAGUACAAAUAUUGACAUGUUAACGACAGAAAAGCAUUUUGAAAUUAUCUGUGCAUUUACAACCUGUAGUUUCAAAUACUGAGAGUGGGGUUAAAAAACGACAACACACGCUAUUCAUGUUUUUAUUGAGACUGGAAUUUUUUUAUUACUGUAACUAUAUUGCUAUCCCGUAUGUGGAAACAAAAAAUUGCCAAACAAGUUUGGUGCCGUUUCCUGAUAUUUUCAGGCCAUAUUUUUCACUGGCCACAUUAGCUAGAUGAAAAACGUAAUGAAUUAAUAAUUGUACUUGUUCAAGAACAAUUUACUAAUUAUUUCUUGUAAUCAGACUAGUAUUACUUUUCAUACCAUGACAAGUUCCUGAAGUCUUCUUCUUAAUGUCACAUGAUGUUGCUGCAGUGUCAACACAGCUGAUUGUAUACAGCAGGGGGUGCGGUCGUCCUGCCGGUUCAAGUAGGAUGACCUGAAACCUGUAUAAAAUCAGCUGUCUUGACACCACAGCAACAUCAUGUGAUAUUUAGAAGAAGACUGCAGGAACAUUAACAAUAAAAACAUGUCAGGGUAUGAAAAGUAAUACUAGUUGUAUAUUAUGUACACUAUCUAAUAUCUAUCUACACUAGUAGUUUCGUCGUCUGAGACGUCUCGCUAGCCUUCGUGACACUCCUCUGGGAUCGAGCUCUUUCAAUAACAACCGCACAUCCUCUUUCCUCACACGCAGUCCAUGCUCCCUGCAUUUAGCGUACAUCCAUCGGUACCCGUGAAGCUGUCCAGAGUACUGCAGUUGGUCGCUAAUAAAAUCCACCAGGACCGACAGGUCAGAGUACGCCUUGCGGCGAGUGUCCCCUAUCUCGCAGUAUCCUCUUCAGAUGUCUCUCACUUAUGUGGAAGGCGUGCCUACUGGCAAGCAUUGAUUUGAUGUCCGAAUAUUUGCGGCCAAGCUCAAAAUAAACGAUGAUCUCCCAUGCUUCAUCGUUGCGGUCGUCAGUUUUUCCUCUGACACGGAAGAUAAAUUCUGACCCGGAAGUUGGUUUGCGAUUUCUCGCAAACCAAAUUAUUAUUUUUCUCUCUGAUUUUUAUUUUAUUUUUUUCAACCAAAAUAUUUUUUU
This is an RNA transcript of Gadus chalcogrammus (walleye pollock), 4025 nucleotides long. It is a transcript of the gene named sodium- and chloride-dependent GABA transporter 2-like, with no coding region annotated. The transcript has 16 exons. NCBI's taxonomy places the organism in Eukaryota, Metazoa, Chordata, Actinopteri, Gadiformes, Gadidae. The record is from RefSeq and is a predicted model, not a curated record.